Molecule: ribosomal RNA, 497 nt
Filed under: uncultured bacterium
Lineage: Bacteria
Description: partial 16S ribosomal RNA
Rfam family: Bacterial small subunit ribosomal RNA
Source: RNAcentral
GACGAACGCUGGCGGCGUGCCUAAUACAUGCAAGUAGAACGCUGAAGCGAGGAGCUUGCUCUUCUUGGCUGAGUCGCGCACGGGUGAGUAACGCGUAGGUAACCUGCCUUGUAGCGGGGGAUAACUAUUGGAAACGAUAGCUAAUACCGCAUAACAAUGGAUGACCCAUGUCAUUUAUUUGAAAGGGGCAAAUGCUCCACUACAAGAUGGACCUGCGUUGUAUUAGCUAGUAGGUGAGGUAACGGCUCACCUAGGCGACGAUACAUAGCCGACCUGAGAGGGUGAUCGGCCACACUGGGACUGAGACACGGCCCAGACUCCUAGAGGAGGCAGCAGUAGGGAAUCUUCGGCAAGAGGGGCAAACCUGACCGAGCAACGCCGCGGGAGUAAAGAAGGUUGUCGGGUCGUAAAGGUCGGUUGUAAGUCAAGAACGAGUGUGAGAGUGGAAAGUUCACACUGUGACGGUAGCUGACCAGAAAGGGACGGCUAACUACGUG